UGGAGUACAGCAUUGUGUCACAGUGCUGUUGCCAAAGGCAGCAGUUCCCCUGUGACCUGUGGUGGGGAAGCUUGGACAGGCUGGUGUCUGUGCAGGGUUUGGGGAUCAGGUGGAGUUUUGGCAUCUGGCAUCCUGCAGCAGGUCUGCAGGAAAAGUGGCCCCUUUAGGUACAGGAGACUUUUCUCAGGAACUGCUUGCUGUCCUGUUAGGAGGUUAUUGACUACUGCAUUACACCUGAAAAAUGGCAAGUGAAACUGCACUGUGAGUGCUGGAAAAUGCAGAAACUGCAGAGAUGCAAGUAAUUCAGCUGGGACAAGAAGAAGGAUUAUAGAAUCAUAGAAUCGCUAAGGCUUCAUUCUUUUUCACCACUCCAGAUAUUUUGAGGGUACAUUUCCACCUCAUCAGCAAGCAGACUUCAUCCUUAAGAACUUCUCCAAAGAGCAAAUGUGGACAGUUGCAGCAUCCUUUCCUUAUGUGCAGAGAAACUGGAAAACACCAGUGAGCCCUGGAAGCUCCUAUAGAUGAAUCCCACUGCAGCCCUGCAAAAGAGCCCAUGAGCAUGGCCACUGCUUAUCUUGCAAUAAAUCCUGCUCCCUCUAUGA
This is a long non-coding RNA of Gallus gallus (chicken), 602 nucleotides long. RefSeq lists it as uncharacterized. The transcript has 3 exons. Lineage: Eukaryota; Metazoa; Chordata; Aves; Galliformes; Phasianidae. The record is from RefSeq and is a predicted model, not a curated record.